UGCCUGUCCUCCCGCAGGACAACCAGACAGGAAGGAGAGUCUCUGCCCGCCAGAGGAGGCCUGCAGUCUGCAGACAGUGUCCCUGCUGCAGGGACGACCAGGUGCCACAUACAAAGCGCAGGCGCCCUGCUGCUUCUGCAGACCUUCCCCAGAAAAGGAAGCAGACCUCCGCUGCUCUUCCUCCUAAACCUGCUGACCUGCCACCUGUCUCUAAUGUGGCCCCCAGCCCCCGGACCUCCACUGCUCCUCUGCACCUCGACAACCCUAUCAGGAUCCACAACCGCUCAGUCGAGGAGUACCAGCUCAUCUACCAUGAAGUUGUGGAUAACAUGCUGAGGUUCCCGAACGGUCUCCUGCGUCCAUAUAGUUUGGGUCUGGGUCGUCGUAUCAAGCAGAAGCUGUGGGAGCGACUGGACCGUCCGAUGUUCACAGAGACAGUGGAUGAAGACGGUCUGGUCCAUGUGGACGUGUCCUACGGUGCUGGAGUCCAGCCUCCGCUCUUCAACGUGGAUGUUUCUGGUGAACCAGAGCCCGAAUAUCCACCAGCAAAAAGGGCAAAGCACUAAGACACACUCUCAUAAGCUGACAUGUCUAAAUAACACUGUGCUUUAAAUUUAGUUUAGUUUUUUUAAGUUUCAUUUGAGUAGUUUUAAGUUUUAAGUAUGGCAGUUAAGUUUAAGUUUAUUAAGUGUAGAGUUAAGUCUUUAGUGCCAAGCAUAAGUAUUAAGUGUUAAGUCUUUAGUUUUAAGUAUUUAGUCAUAAGUAUAACUAUAAAGUGUUAAGAGUAAGUGUUUAGUUUAAGUUUUUAGUUAAAGUAUUUUGUUUGAAGUAUUUAGUAUUAAGUGUACGUUUUUACUGCUAAGUAUAAGUAUUAAGUGUUUAGUUUAAGUAUUUAGUAAUAAGUUUAAGAAUGUAGUGUUAAGAAUAAGUAUUUAGUGUUAAGAGUUAGUAUUUAGUUUGAGAUAAGUUUACUUUCAUUGAUCUUAAUGUAUCUCACCACUGAUGAAUUGUCUUCCUCUGAAUCAGUUCAUGCUCCUCUGUUAACAGUCUUCUCAAUCAGCUUCAGCCUCAACAGCAACAGUUAUCACCUGCCAGAACACCUGCUCCACCCUCCAGCCUCCACCUGUUACUUCUACCAGACAAAACAUCAGCCUUGCUCUGCAGCCUGUGAGAUGACAGACUCCUCUCCACCUGCAGCCUCUGUCAGCAACCUGCAGCCAUCUCCUCCAACUGCACAUUCUGUUGAAUAGCUGACGGCUGAACCUCCAUCUACAGCCUUUGCCAGUGCACCUGUGCCUACACCUCUCGAAGUGAACUGCUAUCCGAGCCUCCACCUACAGCCUCUAUAAGGAAACCUGCACAGAUGUUAUCCUACUGCCAUUUGGAGACCUGAGUGGAACAGCAAGGACCAGAGAAACACACGCAGAUAUAGUCCUUCAGUUAAUAUGCAAAAAUAUUUCUGUGUUAUUAAAGCUGGCUUUCUGUUUACAUUCUGUUCACUUGUUCUUCUUCUCACAGGUGUUUUCAAACGUUGUGUGAAAGACUGAGCACACACUCCUCAACAUGAACCUGACUGACUGUGAUGAUGCCUUCAUGAAACGAGAGAGUUCCUCUUCCUCCCAAGUUGUCUACCAGGAGCUGAUUCAGGCCCCUGAGGACAACUCCUUCUACAACAGCUCUGUUCCAGAGAUGCUUCCUCCUCCUCCUCCUCCAAAUCCUCCACCUUCACCACCCCUCCUGCUCAUCGCCAGAACUAAGAGUGCCCCACCCCAUCUCAGCAACCACCACCAGUUUCUCCUGCAGCCACCGCCUCCACCUGCAGAUUCUGACAGCCACUGCUGACAGCCAAAUCUCCUCCUACAGCCUCUGCCAGUGCACCUGCGUCUACACCUCUUGAAGUCAACUGCAGCCGAACCUCCACCCACAGCCUCUGUCAGCAACCUGCAGCUGUCACCUCCACCUGCAGAUUUUUACAGAUCGCUACUGCUCAACCUCCACUGACAACUUUUGUCAGCAACCUGAACCAGCACCUACACCUCUCGUACACUACUGCCAUCCAAACCUCCACCUGUAACCUUUGCCAGCCGCCUGCAGACACCUCCUCCACCUGACGAUUCCCACAGAAAGCUGGGGUCAAACCUCCACCUUCAGCCUCUAUAAGGAAACCUGCACAGAUGUUAUCCUACUGCCAUGGUUGGAUCUAAGUGGAACAGCAACGACCAGAGAAACACUGGUGUUUUCAAACGUUGUGUGAAAGACUGAGCACACACUCCUCAACAUGAACCUGACUGAUUGUGAUGAUGCCUUCAUGAAACAGAAAGAGCUCCUCUUCCUCCCACCUGCCUUGUUGGACUUCCAGAUCCAGAGAUGCUUCCUCCUCCUCCCUAUCGUGCACGUUCACCACCCCUCCUGCUCAUCGCCAGAACUAAAAAUGCCCCUCCCCAUCUCUGCAACCACCAGCACUUUCUACGCAAGCCGAUUCAUUGAAGUCCAAAGAUUGCAGAGACGCUCCACCCGAGACUUCAGUGCCUUACUUUUCCAACAACGCCCCCUAAAACGACGUCCAAUGUGCUCUUUUACUGUGUACUUUAAGCCUCUGCACUGUUUUACAAUAAAUGUUUCAUUAUCUGCAUCAAUCAGAUCAUGUGUCUCUAACUAUCUAACAAGUCCUUUUAUCUGCAUUUAUAAUUGUUAGUAAAUCCUUAAUAAACGGUUUUGAGUUA
Molecule: long non-coding RNA, 2723 nt
Organism: Trematomus bernacchii (emerald rockcod)
Lineage: Eukaryota; Metazoa; Chordata; Actinopteri; Perciformes; Nototheniidae
Exons: 6
Source: RefSeq, a predicted model, not a curated record